GAAUAUUUAUGGAAGACGAAAUCCGAAUUGCGAUUCUCUAUUGAAUACAUUUGUCAUUGGAAUAUGGAAUUUUAGAAUUAUUCCAGUGCCGAGUUAUAUGGAAUAAAGAAAAGGGUAUGCAGUCUUGACGAGGAACUGCCUUCUCAUUGGUUGAUUUUUGAAGAAAAACGGCUUCUGAGAGCUCUGCAUCAUUUUCCGCCUUUAUUAUCUAUAGUCACCAAUUUUAUCGAAGCUCGCGCCAUUACAAUUUAACAUGAAAUAUUGCUGUGCCUUCUAUAAAUGGCCAGCAAUACAAUAUGCACACGCAACCAAAGGAAUGCACCCGAUUAGGUUAAAUAAAUGCCCCUAUUCUAUUUCUCUUUUUAAAAACCCGCUUAGACCAGUUCAUGCCUCUUGCUUCAACGUUUUAGGUGCAAAGUAAUACGGAAAGAUGCAAUUUAGGUGCCAUAGAGGAGUGAAGUUAGGUUUUGCUAUAAAAAUUUAAGUUUAAAAAAGAGAAAGUUAUCAAGAGUUAUUAAGGAAUAUUUAGGCAGUUUAGCUAUAUUAAAACGAACCAUGUUUACUCGACAAAAUGCAUGUGUGAUAGACAGUAAAAAGACACUGCAUGUUAAGAAUUAAAGUUUUUAUUGUCAAUAAAAAUAUAUCUCCAUGAA
This 653-nucleotide long non-coding RNA is filed under the name Dendronephthya gigantea. RNAcentral describes it as "uncharacterized LOC114538587". The record is from RNAcentral. Lineage: Eukaryota; Metazoa; Cnidaria; Anthozoa; Malacalcyonacea; Nephtheidae.